RNAcentral lists this ribosomal RNA (409 nucleotides) under bacterium. RNAcentral's name for it is "partial 16S ribosomal RNA". It matches the Rfam family "Bacterial small subunit ribosomal RNA", at positions 355 to 776 of the family's 1533-position model. The record is from RNAcentral.
UGGGGAAUAUUGCACAAUGGGCGAAAGCCUGAUGCAGCGACGCCGCGUGAGGGAUGACGGCCUUCGGGUUGUAAACCUCUUUCAGCAGGGACGAAGCGCAAGUGACGGUACCUGCAGAAGAAGCACCGGCUAACUACGUGCCAGCAGCCGCGGUAAUACGUAGGGUGCAAGCGUUGUCCGGAAUUACUGGGCGUAAAGAGUUCGUAGGCGGUUUGUCGCGUCGUUUGUGAAAACCAGCAGCUCAACUGCUGGCUUGCAGGCGAUACGGGCAGACUUGAGUACUGCAGGAGAGACUGGAAUUCCUGGUGUAACGGUGAAAUGCGCAGAUAUCAGGAGGAACACCGGUGGCGAAGGCGGGUCUCUGGGCAGUAACUGACGCUGAGGAACGAAAGCGUGGGUAGCGAACAGG